AUUCCAGCUCCAAUAGCGUAUAUUAAAGUUGUCGCGGUUAAAAAGCUCGUAGUUGGAUUUCUGCUGAAGCAAACCGGUCCGCCCUCUGGGUGAGCAUCUGGCUUUAUUUUGGCAUAUGCUUAGACUUUGCAGCUGCACUUGACUGUGUGGUGUGAAGGCUAAGCCAUUUACUUUGAGGAAAUCAGAGUGUUUCAAGCAGGCAAUUGCCUUGAAUACACUAGCAUGGAAUAAUAUGAUAUGACUGUGGUUUUAUUUUGUUGGCUUCUAGAAUUAGAGUAAUGGUUAAUAGGGAUAGUUGGGGGCAUUCAUAUUUAACUGUCAGAGGUGAAAUUCUUGGAUUUGUUAAGGAUGAACGACUGCGAAAGCAUUUGCCAAGGAUGCUUUCAUCG
This 389-nucleotide ribosomal RNA is filed under the name Tripos sp. RNAcentral describes it as "partial small subunit ribosomal RNA". It matches the Rfam family "Eukaryotic small subunit ribosomal RNA", at positions 582 to 975 of the family's 1831-position model. The record is from RNAcentral. Lineage: Eukaryota; Dinophyceae; Gonyaulacales; Ceratiaceae.